GCCGGGUUUGGUGGCGCAAGCCUGUGAUUCCAGCAGCUCGGGAGGUUAAGGCAGGAGGAUGGUAAGUUUGAGGCCAGCCUGGGAACUUAGCAAGACCCUGUUUCAA
This 106-nucleotide small RNA is filed under the name Marmota monax (woodchuck). The record is from RNAcentral. Lineage: Eukaryota; Metazoa; Chordata; Mammalia; Rodentia; Sciuridae.